AAGUCGUAACAAGGUUUCCGUAGGUGAACCUGCGGAAGGAUCAUUAUUGAAUAAAUCUGACGUGGUUGUCGCUGGCUCCCCCGGGAGCAUGUGCACGCCCGUCACCUUUAUUUCUCCACCUGUGCACACACUGUAGGCCUGGAUACCUCUCGUCGCAAGGCGGAUGCGUGGCUUGCUGUCGCUUUCGAAAGAAGGCCAGCUUGCCAUGAAUUUCCAGGUCUAUGAUUUCUUACACACCCCAAACUGAAUGUUAUGGAAUGUCAUCUCAAGGCCUUGUGCCUAUAAACCUAUACAACUUUCAGCAACGGAUCUCUUGGCUCUC
RNAcentral lists this unclassified non-coding RNA (322 nucleotides) under Coprinopsis calospora. RNAcentral describes it as "partial internal transcribed spacer region". The stretch from base 1 to 46 matches the Rfam family "Eukaryotic small subunit ribosomal RNA", at positions 1786 to 1831 of the family's 1831-position model. The record is from RNAcentral. Lineage: Eukaryota; Fungi; Basidiomycota; Agaricomycetes; Agaricales; Psathyrellaceae.